UGGCUAUGAUUAUAAAAUUACCCGCGCUUCUGAGAUCCAUUAAGGUCAAUGAAGCAUAUACGGUAAAACAUGGUUGAAUUUCUUACUAUGAGCCC
This is a small nucleolar RNA of Eutrema salsugineum, 95 nucleotides long. The record is from Rfam. NCBI's taxonomy places the organism in Eukaryota, Viridiplantae, Streptophyta, Magnoliopsida, Brassicales, Brassicaceae.